RNAcentral lists this ribosomal RNA (842 nucleotides) under uncultured Archangiaceae bacterium. RNAcentral's name for it is "bacterial SSU rRNA". It matches the Rfam family "Bacterial small subunit ribosomal RNA", at positions 58 to 879 of the family's 1533-position model. Lineage: Bacteria; Pseudomonadati; Myxococcota; Myxococcia; Myxococcales; Archangiaceae. The record is from RNAcentral.
CAAGUCGAGCGCGAAUGGGAGCAAUCCCUAGUAGAGCGGCGCACGGGCGCGUAACACGUGGGUAAUCUGCCUGGAAGCCCGGGACAACCUUUNGAAAGGAUGGCUAAUACCGGAUAAGCCUACGGGAUCCUCGGAUCCUGAAGGAAAAGGUGGCCUCUGUAUACAAGCUAUCACUUCCAGAUGAGCCCGCGGCCCAUCAGCUAGUUGGCGGGGUAAUGGCCCACCAAGGCAACGACGGGUAGCUGGUCUGAGAGGACGAUCAGCCACACUGGAACUGAGACACGGUCCAGACUCCUACGGGAGGCAGCAGUGGGGAAUUUUGCACAAUGGGCGAAAGCCUGAUGCAGCAGCGCCGCGUGUGUGAUGAAGGUCUUCGGAUUGUAAAGCACUUUCGACCGGGACGAAACACCCUUGGCUAACAUCCAAGGGCCUGACGGUACCGGGAGAAGAAGCACCGGCUAACUCUGUGCCAGCAGCCGCGGUAAUACAGAGGGUGCAAGCGUUGUUCGGAAUUAUUGGGCGUAAAGCGCGUGUAGGCGGCUUGGCAAGUCGGGUGUGAAAUCCCUCAGCUUAACUGAGGAAGUGCGCCCGAAACUGCCGAGCUUGAGUACCGGAGAGGGUGGCGGAAUUCCCCAAGUAGAGGUGAAAUUCGUAGAUAUGGGGAGGAACACCGGUGGCGAAGGCGGCCACCUGGACGGAUACUGACGCUGAGACGCGAAAGCGUGGGGAGCAAACAGGAUUAGAUACCCUGGUAGUCCACGCCGUAAACGAUGAGAACUAGGUGUCGUGGGUGUUGACCCCCGCGGUGCCGUAGCUAACGCAUUAAGUUCUCCGCCUGGGAA